This 269-nucleotide ribosomal RNA is filed under the name uncultured prokaryote. RNAcentral describes it as "partial 16S ribosomal RNA". It matches the Rfam family "Bacterial small subunit ribosomal RNA", at positions 524 to 792 of the family's 1533-position model. The record is from RNAcentral.
UACGUAGGUGGCAAACGUUAUCCGGAAUUAUUGGGCGUAAAGAGCGCGCAGGUGGUUGAUUAAGUCUGAUGUGAAAGCCCACGGCUUAACCGUGGAGGGUCAUUGGAAACUGGUCGACUUGAGUGCAGAAGAGGGAAGUGGAAUUCCAUGUGUAGCGGUGAAAUGCGUAGAGAUAUGGAGGAACACCAGUGGCGAAGGCGGCUUCCUGGUCUGUAACUGACACUGAGGCGCGAAAGCGUGGGGAUCAAACAGGAUUAGAUACCCCCGUA